Molecule: long non-coding RNA, 482 nt
Filed under: Monodelphis domestica (gray short-tailed opossum)
Lineage: Eukaryota; Metazoa; Chordata; Mammalia; Didelphimorphia; Didelphidae
Description: lncRNA (ENSMODG00000031363.2)
Source: RNAcentral
AGUUCCUGGUGGCAAGAAAUGUGGGCAAGUCAUCUUCUCUCACAGAGUUUCAGAGAGAGAGUCAUCUCACCCUGGAGUACAGAGGAGGAGGAAGGAGUAUGUCUGAGCUCAGAAGUUCCUUUGAAAAAGAGGGCACAUUUGUCUACAAACCAAAUGGCUUCAAUGUAGGGGAUGGUGUUUCCCAUUUCUGCUCACAAGAAUGAGAACUGGAGGCUGAUGGGAAGGAGAGACCCCUAUGAAUAGGAGAAGGGUCUGGGACUGAAGCUGGAGAUCAUUAUUUCUUUAUAACCAAAUAUCUCAGGAGUGCCUGGUAAAAGAAUUAAAAAUAUGAAGGAAAUAGAUAUUUUUUCCAUUUCUGACUAACUCUCAAAAAACCCCCAACAAACCUUAGAAGAGAAAUUAUGUGCCAGAUGUGGAACAAUCACAGUAAAUGCCACAGGACUGAAAAUAAAGAGAAAGCCAACAAAAUAGAAGCCUAAUGA